UGGAGGUAAAGAGGUAUGUGACUGUAGGUGGAGGUAAAGAGGUAUGUGACUGUAGGUGGAGGUAUAGAGGUAUGUGACUGUAGGUGGAGGUAUAGAGGUAUGUGACUGUAGGUGGAGGUAUAGAGGUAUGUGACUGUAGGUGGAGGUAUAGAGGUAUGUGACUGUAGGUGGAGGUAUAGAGGUAUGGGACUGUAGGUGGAGGUAAAGAGGUAUGUGACUGUAGGUGGAGGUAAAGAGGUAUGUGACUGUAGGUGGAGGUAUAGAGGUAUGUGACUGUAGGUGGAGGUAUAGAGGUAUGUGACUGUAGGUGGAGGUAUAGAGGUAUGGGACUGUAGGUGGAGGUAAAGAGGUAUGUGACUGUAGGUGGAGGUAAAGAGGUAUCUGACUGUAGGUGGAGGUAUGUGACUGUAGGUGGAGGUAUAGAGGUAUGUGACUGUAGGUGGAGGUAUAGAGGUAUGUGACUGUAGGUGGAGGUAUAGAGGUAUGUGACUGUAGGUGGAGGUAAAGAGGUAUGUGACUGUAGGUGGAGGUAUAGAGGUAUGUGACUGUAGGUGGAGGUAUGUGACUGUAGGUGGAGGUAUGUGACUGUAGGUGGAGGUAUGUGACUGUAGGUGGAGGUAUGUGACUGUAGGUGGAGGUAAAGAGGUAUGUGACUGUAGGUGGAGGUAAAGAGGUAUGGGACUGUAGGUGGAGGUAUGUGACUGUAGGUGGAGGUAUGUGACUGUAGGUGGAGGUAUGUGACUGUAGGUGGAGGUAUAGAGGUAUGUGACUGUAGGUGGAGGUAAAGAGGUAUGUGACUGUAGGUGGAGGUAUGUGACUGUAGGUGGAGGUAUGUGACUGUA
Molecule: long non-coding RNA, 842 nt
Organism: Oncorhynchus keta (chum salmon)
Lineage: Eukaryota; Metazoa; Chordata; Actinopteri; Salmoniformes; Salmonidae
Exons: 3
Source: RefSeq, a predicted model, not a curated record